CCACUGUAACUGUCCAAAUACCCUCAAUUUAGUCAUUAAACAACUACUACUUUUUGGUUAAGGUCAUGUUUUGCAUCAUAUUAAUUACUUUCAACACUGAGUUUACAUUUUAUUCUGUACUCAUAAUACUUGUGUUGCAUACAAUUGUACCAAUACAUUUUAUUGGUUUUAUGGGGACUACAAAUCAUUGCUUAGAAAGCAAAAUAAAUUUGGUGUAGGUAUAGUCCAACUAAAGAGAGCAUGUCUCUUCUUUUUGAUGUAUACUAUAAAUAGGUUUCUAAAGCGGCAAUUACAUGUAUAACAGUGGUUGUCAAUCAGGGAUUUUUUUUUUAAAGUUUAAAAAAUAGUGUAGGAUUCCUUAUACAGCCUGUAUAAACAUUAGACAAGCUGGUUUUACACUAGCAUAUACCCCGCGGUAUGAAGAACUUGUGACAAGGGUUUCAUAUGAAAUAAAAUUUAAAAAAUAAAAUCCUCCCACCCGCCCCAUGUUUUUCAAAAAUUUGGAUGAAAAUCUACUAAUUAAUUUUAGUUGGCCUAAACUUUAA
This 545-nucleotide long non-coding RNA is filed under the name Mytilus galloprovincialis (Mediterranean mussel). Lineage: Eukaryota; Metazoa; Mollusca; Bivalvia; Mytilida; Mytilidae. The record is from RNAcentral.